This 732-nucleotide long non-coding RNA is filed under the name Sus scrofa (pig). Its description in RNAcentral is "lncRNA (ENSSSCG00040023025.1)". The record is from RNAcentral. Lineage: Eukaryota; Metazoa; Chordata; Mammalia; Artiodactyla; Suidae.
CUCAACUUGGACCCUCUUCCAUCCAGAGGAGAAGAAGGGCAAGCGGAGGAUCCGAACCACCUUCACCACAGAGCAGCUGCAGGAGCUGGAGAAGAUCUUCCACUUCACCCACUACCCCGAUGUCCAUAUCCGCAACCAGCUGGCAGCCAGGAUCAACCUCCCAGAAGCUCGGGUACAGAUCUGGUUCCAGAAUCAGCGAGCCAAGCGGCGGAAGCAGGAGAGGACCGGCAGCCUGGGGGCUCCGUCGCAGCUGAGCGAGGCGGCCCUGGCCCCGCCCACAAACCCGGACGUAGCCGGCCCCAUGCUGCUGCCCCCUGCACGGCCCUGGCUGACUCCUCUCUCAGGGUGCUGUCCGCUGGCUCGAGGUCAACUAGCCUCUGCCUGGCUCCCCACCCGGAUCACCCUCCUCCCAUGCCACCCAUGGGCGACACAGCCCCUCCCGGGCCCUCCCAGCCAGCAGACCUGUGUCCCUGCACUCUGCUUUUUUUCCAUCUCCUCACCCCAAAUGGGGCAGCAUCUGUGCCACUUCCACACAGGGACCGGACAUCCUCUCCCCGGCGGAGCCACUGUCCUCUCCAGGUGAAGGCAGGUGGCAGAAAGGUGCCCAGGCCUCUGGGGGAAUCGUCUCAGAAUUCACAGCCCAAGAAGCCACCCUGAGUGCAUCCCUUGGAAGGUUACAUCGGACUCAGCAGCAAGAUGGCCAAUAAAGGAAGCUCUUAUCUCUCCUGGCCA